This 259-nucleotide long non-coding RNA is filed under the name Saimiri boliviensis boliviensis (Bolivian squirrel monkey). Its description in RNAcentral is "lncRNA (ENSSBOG00000036424.1)". The record is from RNAcentral. Lineage: Eukaryota; Metazoa; Chordata; Mammalia; Primates; Cebidae.
AUUUUACUAUGUUAAGAAUGUUAAGAAGGAAUACAAAUUUUCCUGUACUAGGCAGAUAAAUUCAUCCUUUUGCCAAGGACAUUCGUAAUUAUCAGAGCCUUUGCUGUUUUCCCUGACUGAGGUGAAUCAGCUGUUUAACUAACUAAACAGCAAAAAGAACGUCUGAUACUCCUGGAACUGUGUAUUUGGAAGGUGCCCUCAGUGCUGUUGCAGAUGCUCUAUAGACUAAACAUUGUGUAAGUAUGAAGUACACUGACUG